Molecule: ribosomal RNA, 200 nt
Filed under: uncultured bacterium
Lineage: Bacteria
Description: partial 16S ribosomal RNA
Rfam family: Bacterial small subunit ribosomal RNA
Source: RNAcentral
ACCUCGACACCUACUGGAGGCAGCAGUGGGGAAUAUUGGGCAAUGGGCGCAAGCCUGACCCAGCAACGCCGCGUGAAGGAAGAAGGCUUUCGGGUUGUAAACUUCUUUUCUCAGGGACGAAGGAAGUGACGGUACCUGAGGAACAAGCCACGGCUAACUACGUGCAGCACGCCGCGGUAAUCUGAGCGGGCUGGCAAGGC